This 588-nucleotide ribosomal RNA is filed under the name Calodera aethiops. RNAcentral describes it as "partial 16S ribosomal RNA". The stretch from base 343 to 501 matches the Rfam family "Bacterial large subunit ribosomal RNA", at positions 2473 to 2632 of the family's 2925-position model. Lineage: Eukaryota; Metazoa; Arthropoda; Insecta; Coleoptera; Staphylinidae. The record is from RNAcentral.
UUAAAUGGCCGCAGUAUUUUGACUGUGCAAAGGUAGCAUAAUCAUUAGUUUCUUAAUUAGAAGCUGGAAUGAAGGGUUGAACGAAAAAAUAACUGUCUCUUUAUAAAUUUAUUAGAAUUUUAUUUUUAAGUUAAAAAGCUUAAAUAUAUUUAAAAGACGAGAAGACCCUAUAGAGUUUUAUAUAAUUUUUUUUAGUAAUUUUAUUUUUAAUUAUGAAAAUUUUAUAAUUAAUUAUAUUUGGUUGGGGUGAUUAAAAAAUUUAAUUAACUUUUUAAAAAAUAAAACAUUUUUAUAUGAUUAAUUGAUCCAUUAUUUAUGAUUAUAAGAUUAAAUUACCUUAGGGAUAACAGCGUAAUUUCUUUUUAGAGUUCAAAUCGAUAAAGAAGUUUGCGACCUCGAUGUUGGAUUAAAAUAUAGUUUUGGUGUAGAAGCUAAAAUAUUAGGUCUGUUCGACCUUUAAAAUUUUACAUGAUCUGAGUUUAAACCGGUGUAAGCCAGGUUGGUUUCUAUCUUUAAAUAAUUAUAAUAUUUUAGUACGAAAGGACCAAAUAUUUAAAAUAUUUUUUAAAUAUUGGAUAAUAAUAAUUU